This 468-nucleotide ribosomal RNA is filed under the name uncultured bacterium. RNAcentral describes it as "partial 16S ribosomal RNA". It matches the Rfam family "Bacterial small subunit ribosomal RNA", at positions 28 to 507 of the family's 1533-position model. The record is from RNAcentral.
GACGAACGCUGGCGGCGUGCUUAACACAUGCAAGUCGAACGGAAAGGCCCUGCUUUUGUGGGGUGCUCGAGUGGCGAACGGGUGAGUAACACGUGAGUAACCUGCCCUUCACUUUGGGAUAACUUCAGGAAACUGGGGCUAAUACCGGAUAGCAGCUCCUGCUGCAUGGUGGGGGUUGGAAAGUUUCGGCGGUUGGGGAUGGACUCGCGGCUUAUCAGUUUGUUGGUGGGGUAGUGGCUUACCAAGGCUUUGGCGGGUAGCCGGCCUGAGAGGGUGACCGGCCACAUUGGGACUGAGAUACGGCCCAGACUCCUACGGGAGGCAGCAGUGGGGAAUAUUGCACAAUGGGCGGAAGCCUGAUGCAGCAACGCCGCGUGCGGGAUGACGGCCUUCGGGUUGUAAACCGCUUUCGCCUGUGACGAAGCGUGAGUGACGGUAAUGGGUAAAGAAGCACCGGCUAACUACGUG